RNAcentral lists this long non-coding RNA (929 nucleotides) under Numida meleagris (helmeted guineafowl). RNAcentral describes it as "lncRNA (ENSNMEG00000008836.1)". Lineage: Eukaryota; Metazoa; Chordata; Aves; Galliformes; Numididae. The record is from RNAcentral.
GGAAACAGAGCUAGCAUUACCUAUGGUUGGGUCUAAGCACUUGGAGUCAUUCCUUACUUCUUGUGUAAAUUGUUCCCAUGAUAGUGGCUGCUUUUGCAACAUCCUUGACCUGUUAAGAUGCAUGCUCUAGGAGGUAUUAAGGAGAGGUUGUUGAGGAGAUGAUUGUGGCCUGUCAUAUUUCACACAACAUGAAGAAGGAACACACACUAAAAAUGGACCAUGGAGCUGGUGCUUAUGAGCUGUCCCAAGAACUGGCCAACCCACUUGAAGUGUAUGUGUCCCCGUGUCUCCUCUUAGCUGCAGCUCCAGAGCCCUAAGAGAAAGAUGAUGAGGCAAAAGCAGGAAAAAUGAGGGCUCCUUUUUCACAAUCCAGCUUGAUCUUCGGAGAUAUCAGUGAGAUAAAAACAGCAGCAUCUUCCAACUUGUUUACUAGCUGAAUAUCAUAUAGACACCUUUGGGAAGUGCCAACUUUUUGACUCAAGCUGCUCUUCAGUGAAUAAGGAGAAUCCUCAGAGGUCCAUCCAGAGGACUUGUGCUUUGAUAAUCUACUCUGCUGUGUUCCCCCAUCUUCCCUUCCCUCUGUAAUCAGACCAUCGGUCACUACAAAGGAUCAAAAUUGCCACGUUUAAAUACUAUUCUCCUUGUGAGAAACUAACAUAUGAUCAAAGCUUAACAGCAUGAAAUGCAUUUCUUGUUUUUGCAGUAAACCUUCAUGUCCCUUGUUGUUGAUCCAAGUUCAUGGAGGUUUAUUUUCAAAGCAAAUCUCUUGUUUUCGUUCCACCGGAGAGCUGUUACAAAGCCAACUAUUGUUACUGUAGAAUAUAACUAUAUUUUUUUUAGUCUAACUGUUUGAAGCAAAUGGCUUUCAUCAGGUAAAAAGUCAUUGUAUAUAUGCAUUAUACAGACAAGUCUUGGACACAACAAACAGU